AGCAUCAGGAGCAGCCUCACAGAAUCAUCCCAACUCUUGGACCUGCGUUGACCCCAACUCACCUUCCACAAAGAGACUGAGAAGACCUCAUUGCCCCACGUGGUGUUGCAUUGAUUGAAGCGGGCAGCAGCACUGACUCCAAUGGUUUCGAAGUGGCCCUUCACCCCACAGAGGCUGAGCGUUCCUGAAGCUGCUGCUGCUGCUGCUGCUGCUGUUAUAAUCAUCUCCAAGACCCACAGCUGGUACUAUUGCCAUACUCUGGGCCUCUGCCCGUCUCAGUGUUACAGACCCUCCCUGUGGACCUCCUAAAUUGUCUCCCCUUUUGUUGGCUCUGUCAUGCCAAAAUUUGAUUUCAGGCACUAUUUCAAAAUUGUUUGGAGGGGAAUGUCGGGAGAGUUCAGCUGGGUCCCGGCCUGUAUUCCACCAUAUUUGUGACUAGACUCUCACUCUCUUUUAAACCCUUUACAGUCUGGUUUCAGGCCACAUCCCUUAAUUGACCUGGCUCUCUCCAAAGUUACCAAUGACUUUCUAAAUGACAAAUCAGAUGACUUUUUCUCAAUCUUCAUCUUUGGUCACAUUGCAGCAUUUAACACUGUUGGCCACCAUCUCCUGGAUAUCUCCCUCCUCUCGGAUUUUGCGAUGGGCUCCUGGUUCUCAUCCUAUUCAUCUGACCACUGCUCAGUUCUCUUUGCUGGAGCUUCAUUUCGUAUCAUUCCUGCUAACCCUGUGUGUCCCCUAACACUCUGAACCAGGACUUCUUUUCUUUUCUCUCCACAGUCUCUCACCUGGUGACCUCAUUGGACUCCAUGGGUUCAAUGAUCAUCUCUGUGCAGAUGGCUCCCAGAUCUAGAUAUCCCUAGUUUCUCUCCUGAGCUCCAGUCCUGCAUCAUAAAUGAUGUUUGGCAUUUCCAGUUGGAUGUUUCCUUGCCAUUUCAAACUCAAUAGAUCUAAAACAGAAGUAGUUCAUUUCCCCUUCAAACCCAUCCCAUUUCUGAACUCUUCUAUUUCUAACAAGGAUGUUGCCAUUCUUCUAGUCACUCACAUUCCCAACCUCAGCAUCAUCCUCAGCUCUUCUGUCUCCCUCACUCUCCAUCCCCCUCAUCCAACCCUUCGCCAAUUCUUGUGAUCAUUAUCUCUUGCCUCUGGCCCCUUUCCUGUACUCACACAGCCACUCCUAAAGUGCUGGUCUGACUGUGUCACUUCCGCUCUCGAUAAACCAUGCUGGCUAUCUACUGUCUCCAGGAUAAAAUACAAAGUCUUCUGCCUUUUAAUGUCCUUCCCAUUUUGGACCCAACCAACCUUUCCAGUAUUGUUAUGUAUUAUUCUUCUUCACACACACUAUGAUCUGACCAAACUCGCCUUUUGGCUUUUCCUUGUACACAACAUCCCAUCUACCACCACCAUGCCUUUACUCAGGCUGUCCCCCAUCCCUGAAGCACAUUCCCUGCUCACCUCUGUAACACAGCAUCCUUAGCUGCCUUCAGGACUCAGCCUAAAAACAACCUUUGCAGCUCGACUCCACAUCCCAUGACCUCAUUCUGGUCCAAUUUUCAGACCCAAACCAUGGGGACCCAAACAAUUUUUCCUUUUCCUCUCCAACUCCAGAGUUGGAUUCUAGAGUUCCUUUUUCACUCAACAUGUAAAAUUAUCAAUCCUAGCUUCAUGAUUUGUUGGGUGGAACACAAAGAGCCUGAGCUGUACCGUUAGAAGACCUUGCUUCAGAUCCCAGUUCUGCCCUACACCCUUGGGCAAAUCAUUGAACUUCCCAGAGUUUCAAUUCUUUCAUCUGUUAAAUGAGAGGGGAUAA
Molecule: long non-coding RNA, 1807 nt
Organism: Vombatus ursinus (common wombat)
Lineage: Eukaryota; Metazoa; Chordata; Mammalia; Diprotodontia; Vombatidae
Exons: 3
Source: RefSeq, a predicted model, not a curated record